This 450-nucleotide ribosomal RNA is filed under the name uncultured Glomeromycotina. Its description in RNAcentral is "SSU rRNA". It matches the Rfam family "Eukaryotic small subunit ribosomal RNA", at positions 569 to 1023 of the family's 1831-position model. The record is from RNAcentral. Lineage: Eukaryota; Fungi; Glomeromycota.
AGCAGCCGCGGUAAUUCCAGCUCCAAUAGCGUAUAUUAAAGUUGUUGCAGUUAAAAAGCUCGUAGUUGAAUUUCGGGGUCAGCAGGUCGGUCGUGCCACUGGUAUGCACUGGCCUUGCUGAUUCCUCCCUCUUGAUGAGCCGUAAUGCCAUUAAUUUGGUGUUGCGGGGAAUCAGGACUGUUACUUUGAAAAAAUUAGAGUGUUUAAAGCAGGCAAGCGCUUGAAUACAUUAGCAUGGAAUAAUGAAAUAGGACGUUCGAUCCUAUUUUGUUGGUUUCUAGGAUUGACGUAAUGAUUAAUAGGGAUAGUUGGGGGCAUUAGUAUUCAAUUGUCAGAGGUGAAAUUCUUGGAUUUAUUGAAGACUAACUACUGCGAAAGCAUUUGCCAAGGAUGUUUUCAUUAAUCAAGAACGAAAGUUAGGGGAUCGAAGACGAUCAGAUACCGUCGUAG